CUUGGUCAUUUAGAGGAAGUAAAAGUCGUAACAAGGUCUCCGUUGGUGAACCAGCGGAGGGAUCAUUACCGAGUACUAUAACUCAUAACCCUUUGUGAACCUUUAUACCUGUUGCUUCGGCGGCGCGCCUCCCGGGGCGUGCCCGCCGGCAUUAUCAGAAUCUCUGUUCGAACCCGACGAUACAUCUGAGUGUUCUAAGCGAACUGUUAAAACUUUCAACAACGGAUCUCUUGGCUCCAGCAUCGAUGAAGAACGCAGCGAAACGCGAUAUGUAAUGUGAAUUGCAGAAUUCAGUGAAUCAUCGAAUCUUUGAACGCACAUGGCGCCUUCCAGUAUCCUGGGAGGCAUGCCUGUCCGAGCGUCGUUUCAACCCUCGAGCCCCCGUGGCCCGGCGUUGGGGAUCUGCCCAGGCAGUCCCCGAAAACCAGUGGCGGACCCGUUGGGCCCUUCCUUUGCGUAGUAACAUCUGCCUCGCAUCGGGAGCCUGCGGGCUAUCCGGCCUCUAAACCCCCCUCAAGCCCGCUCCGGCGGCACCAAGGUUGACCUCGGAUCAGGUAGGAAUACCCGCUGAACUUAAGCAUAUCAAUAAGCGGAGGAAAAGAAACCAACAGGGAUUGCCUCAGUAACGGCGAGUGAAGCGGCAGCAGCUCAAAUUUGAAAUCUGGCUCCUUCGGGGCCCGAGUUGUAAUUUGCAGAGGAUGCUUCGGGUACGGGUUCCUUCCGAGUUCCCUGGAACGGGACGCCAUAGAGGGUGAGAGCCCCGUCUGGUAGGACACCCAGCCCGUGUGAAGCUCCCUCGACGAGUCGAGUUGUUUGGGAAU
RNAcentral lists this small RNA (821 nucleotides) under uncultured Verticillium. RNAcentral describes it as "eukaryotic LSU rRNA". The stretch from base 541 to 821 matches the Rfam family "Eukaryotic large subunit ribosomal RNA", at positions 1 to 281 of the family's 3401-position model. Lineage: Eukaryota; Fungi; Ascomycota; Sordariomycetes; Hypocreales. The record is from RNAcentral.